AGGGGGGGGUCUAUACAUGCAAGUCGAGCGAAUGGAUUGAGAGCUUGCUCUCAAGAAGUUAGCGGCGGACGGGUGAGUAACACGUGGGUAACCUGCCCAUAAGACUGGGAUAACUCCGGGAAACCGGGGCUAAUACCGGAUAACAUUUUGAACUGCAUGGUUCGAAAUUGAAAGGCGGCUUCGGCUGUCACUUAUGGAUGGACCCGCGUCGCAUUAGCUAGUUGGUGAGGUAACGGCUCACCAAGGCAACGAUGCGUAGCCGACCUGAGAGGGUGAUCGGCCACACUGGGACUGAGACACGGCCCAGACUCCUACGGGAGGCAGCAGUAGGGAAUCUUCCGCAAUGGACGAAAGUCUGACGGAGCAACGCCGCGUGAGUGAUGAAGGCUUUCGGGUCGUAAAACUCUGUUGUUAGGGAAGAACAAGUGCUAGUUGAAUAAGCUGGCACCUUGACGGUACCUAACCAGAAAGCCACGGCUAACUACGUGCCAGCAGCAGCGGUAAUACGUAGGUGGCAAGCGUUAUCCGGAAUUAUUGGGCGUAAAGCGCGCGCAGGUGGUUUCUUAAGUCUGAUGUGAAAGCCCACGGCUCACCCGUGGAGGGUCAUUGGAAACUGGGAGACUUGAGUGCGGAAGAGGAAAGCGUAAUUCCAUGUGUAGCGGUGUAAACCGGUAGUGAACACCCAGGAACACCACAGUCUGGAAGACACCCCCUUUUUGU
RNAcentral lists this ribosomal RNA (720 nucleotides) under Bacillus sp. (in: firmicutes). Its description in RNAcentral is "bacterial SSU rRNA". It matches the Rfam family "Bacterial small subunit ribosomal RNA", at positions 38 to 733 of the family's 1533-position model. Lineage: Bacteria; Bacillati; Bacillota; Bacilli; Caryophanales; Bacillaceae. The record is from RNAcentral.